Long non-coding RNA from Apis cerana (Asiatic honeybee), 2343 nucleotides. RefSeq lists it as uncharacterized. NCBI's taxonomy places the organism in Eukaryota, Metazoa, Arthropoda, Insecta, Hymenoptera, Apidae. The record is from RefSeq and is a predicted model, not a curated record.
CGAACUUCUCCGUAUGCAAUGGCUAUUGUAUGUUCGGUUGACGACGUCGCCAUGUUUUUAACUUUGAAUCUCGAUCGCUGUGUAUAAAUUGCACGACCGCAACCGAUCCGACUGAUUGUCGACAACGCGAAUGGAAUAUAGUUAAAUGAAACAUAGAAAGUAAUAGAAAGAAAAAGACAAAAAGUAUAAAGAAAAGAGCCAGGAUUAUAGGGAUAGUGGAGAAAGAAUCAAUGUAAACCUUUGGCGAAUUCAAAGGCGAGUUAACAGUGUCUACACAUACUGGAUCGACCAUUCACAAAGUGAAAGCCUUGGCACAUAAAAGUCGUUUCGAUCAAUUCAACUUAGGCUAUUGCUACGGUGCUCAGAAUGACAAUACGUGUGGAUUUUCUCGCGAACUUGUGCACACAUUUACACGGUAUUCGGCAUGUAUACGUAUAGGUAUUCUUGGAGUUUUCGCAAACUCAAUUAUUCCUCCACGGCCGAUAAAAUCUUCAAUUACUCCAGACAACGAACUAUUUUGGUACUUUGAUCUCGAGCAAAAGAAAGGAAAAAAGGAAACAAGAUUUUUAAACAAUUCUUCUCUAAGUGAAUUCUUGAUUGAAAGUAAUGGUGGCAAAAUUUAAAUUUAAAUAUUAAAUAUUUUAAAAUAUAUGUAUAUAUGUGUAUAUAUAAUUAUUAAAAAUGUGCAGAUAUCAUGUUGAAAAAAGUAAUUUUGACUUUAUACAAUUCUUUCGACUUCGAAGAAAGAACAAGAAAAAAAAAUUCAAAAAAACUAUCAUGUAAAUAAAACUCAAUUUAACAAAACAUACUACAAUUGAACGUAAUGCACAGAUAUAUAAUGAAAUUUCUAUACCAAGUUUAUUUUCGUAAAAAAAAGAAAGAGAGAGAAAAUAUAUAAAAUAUAUAUAAAAUAGAAAAAAAAUAAUAUUCGUACGAAAAUAUAAUGAGCUUACCCGAAUUCCGCCGAAUCGAAAUCUUCUACUUCGUCGUACCAUGAUUGAAUAUGAAAGCGAAUCCUUGCGAUGGAUGACAGGUUUCCCAUGUUAUCUAUUUCGAAAAUGUGCACAUUCUGCCAUACUCCAAAUCCUGCAAAAAAUAUGAUAUAUUUAUGAUAUAAUAUUUAUGAUAUCUAGAAUGAUUAUAAUAUCUUGCAAAUUAAUUAAAAAUAUUUGCAGUGAUAAUAACAAUAAUGCAUUGAUAAUAACAAUAAUGUAGCUAAUAUAAACAUUUAUGAAGUUAAACUUAUUAUAUACGUUUAAAGAUCAUCACAUUUAUUCUACAUGUGUAAAGAUCAUUGGUUCUAUAUCUAUUAAUGAAGACAAAUAAUUAUAGAAGAUUUUAAUACAAUUUUAAUUGAUUCUAUGAUUUCACGUAAUUUUUGUUUUAAAUUUAUCCAAUUUAGAAAUCAAUUCCACUCAAUAAACAUAGAUUUAAUUUAGAAUCCAAUUUAACGAAACAAGGAAAUCAACUUCGAAAUUAUAGCCAAUGAAAUUAAUGAACUAACUUAGGAAUUAUUUAGAGAAUUAAUCUCCACCAUGACUUUGUGAUUUUCAAAUGAUUUUGAGAAUCAAAUUAGGAAUUGUAUCUUAGAAUCUAGAGAACCAAUCUACACAAAUAGAAAAAUUUGUCAGAUGUGAUUCACAUGUGACUGAUCUCCCGUUUAUUUCAAUCUCAUACUCCAGAUCGUUUUAAUAAAAGGUUUUUUUUUGUACGAAGAUGAUUUGACCAACUUAUCCGCUAGAAAAAACUUGAAUGAGACAAAAUCGAAAAUAUUGAAAUGUUAAUGAAAGGAUAAAAAAUUAGAGAUCACCCAUCGCAAUAGACAAUAAACCAAAUGAAAUUUCUCUCUUUUACAAGAGCCACUGUCGUUUUUGCGGCUUACGAUUGCAAAUUGAAACGAAGCCAAAACGAGUUAGAAUGGGAUGGAAAAGGAAGAAGAUAGGGUGGAAGAGAGUGGUAUUCGUAAACAAGAAGGAGAGAAAUUGCGAUAAAAAGAGGAGAACACACAGAUACAUUGAUCCUGUUACAGAAGGAACAAUUUCGUGUUCGAAUGUAUACGCGAUGGAUAUUGAAAAAUGAUAGGGACGACUAAGGGAAAUGAAAAAUGAUAUAUAUCCGUGGGAGUUACUUGCCAACAUCUCUGCACUGAUCUUUCUCGAGAAGGUUGCACUGUACCACCCAUCGUCUCGCGAUAAGAGCAAGCAUUAUGGCUUAAUCUAAAUUAAAUCUUACCACUUCCAUCAUAAAUUUUGCUGGACGUUGUGGACCUGGAUUUCCUCGUAUUUCUUUCCCACUUGCCACAGUAUUGCGAUAAGUAUUGUGCCAAUGGAGUAUAGUUUCAAU